GAAAAAGCUCUUUCCCAGACAGUCGAACUUAAAUCAUCCAAUGAUGGUGGGAGCACGCAAACUUCUAAGCCAAGGUCUGGCUCCCAGAAAUCUCACCAGCAGUCUUCCUCAUCACAUUAUCAAACCCCUGCGUCUGCUUUAUACGAUCCAUCUGAGGAUUCAAGGACUUCUGUGGGUUCAUCCAAUACUACUGCAUGGUCUGAAAGAACAGGUGAAUCUAGG
This 222-nucleotide unclassified non-coding RNA is filed under the name Hevea brasiliensis (rubber tree). Lineage: Eukaryota; Viridiplantae; Streptophyta; Magnoliopsida; Malpighiales; Euphorbiaceae. The record is from RNAcentral.